This 1549-nucleotide ribosomal RNA is filed under the name Klebsiella pneumoniae. RNAcentral's name for it is "bacterial SSU rRNA". It matches the Rfam family "Bacterial small subunit ribosomal RNA". Lineage: Bacteria; Pseudomonadati; Pseudomonadota; Gammaproteobacteria; Enterobacterales; Enterobacteriaceae. The record is from RNAcentral.
AAAUUGAAGAGUUUGAUCAUGGCUCAGAUUGAACGCUGGCGGCAGGCCUAACACAUGCAAGUCGAGCGGUAGCACAGAGAGCUUGCUCUCGGGUGACGAGCGGCGGACGGGUGAGUAAUGUCUGGGAAACUGCCUGAUGGAGGGGGAUAACUACUGGAAACGGUAGCUAAUACCGCAUAAUGUCGCAAGACCAAAGUGGGGGACCUUCGGGCCUCAUGCCAUCAGAUGUGCCCAGAUGGGAUUAGCUUGUAGGUGGGGUAACGGCUCACCUAGGCGACGAUCCCUAGCUGGUCUGAGAGGAUGACCAGCCACACUGGAACUGAGACACGGUCCAGACUCCUACGGGAGGCAGCAGUGGGGAAUAUUGCACAAUGGGCGCAAGCCUGAUGCAGCCAUGCCGCGUGUGUGAAGAAGGCCUUCGGGUUGUAAAGCACUUUCAGCGGGGAGGAAGGCGGUGAGGUUAAUAACCUCAUCGAUUGACGUUACCCGCAGAAGAAGCACCGGCUAACUCCGUGCCAGCAGCCGCGGUAAUACGGAGGGUGCAAGCGUUAAUCGGAAUUACUGGGCGUAAAGCGCACGCAGGCGGUCUGUCAAGUCGGAUGUGAAAUCCCCGGGCUCAACCUGGGAACUGCAUUCGAAACUGGCAGGCUAGAGUCUUGUAGAGGGGGUAGAAUUCCAGGUGUAGCGGUGAAAUGCGUAGAGAUCUGGAGGAAUACCGGUGGCGAAGGCGGCCCCCUGGACAAAGACUGACGCUCAGGUGCGAAAGCGUGGGGAGCAAACAGGAUUAGAUACCCUGGUAGUCCACGCCGUAAACGAUGUCGAUUUGGAGGUUGUGCCCUUGAGGCGUGGCUUCCGGAGCUAACGCGUUAAAUCGACCGCCUGGGGAGUACGGCCGCAAGGUUAAAACUCAAAUGAAUUGACGGGGGCCCGCACAAGCGGUGGAGCAUGUGGUUUAAUUCGAUGCAACGCGAAGAACCUUACCUGGUCUUGACAUCCACAGAACUUAGCAGAGAUGCUUUGGUGCCUUCGGGAACUGUGAGACAGGUGCUGCAUGGCUGUCGUCAGCUCGUGUUGUGAAAUGUUGGGUUAAGUCCCGCAACGAGCGCAACCCUUAUCCUUUGUUGCCAGCGGUCCGGCCGGGAACUCAAAGGAGACUGCCAGUGAUAAACUGGAGGAAGGUGGGGAUGACGUCAAGUCAUCAUGGCCCUUACGACCAGGGCUACACACGUGCUACAAUGGCAUAUACAAAGAGAAGCGACCUCGCGAGAGCAAGCGGACCUCAUAAAGUAUGUCGUAGUCCGGAUUGGAGUCUGCAACUCGACUCCAUGAAGUCGGAAUCGCUAGUAAUCGUAGAUCAGAAUGCUACGGUGAAUACGUUCCCGGGCCUUGUACACACCGCCCGUCACACCAUGGGAGUGGGUUGCAAAAGAAGUAGGUAGCUUAACCUUCGGGAGGGCGCUUACCACUUUGUGAUUCAUGACUGGGGUGAAGUCGUAACAAGGUAACCGUAGGGGAACCUGCGGUUGGAUCACCUCCUUACCUUAAAGAA